CUAAGAAUAUUCCGCAAUGGACGGAAGUCUGACGGAGCGACGCCGCGUGGAUGAAGAAGGCUGAAAAGUUGUAAAAUCCUUUUGUUGAUGAAGAAUAAGGGUGAGAGGGAAUGCUCAUCUGAUGACGGUAAUCGACGAAUAAGCCCCGGCUAAUUACGUGCCAGCAGCCGCGGUAACACGUAAGGGGCGAGCGUUGUUCGGAAUUAUUGGGCGUAAAGGGCAUGUAGGCGGCUAUGUAAGCCUGAUGUGAAAUCCUGGGGCUUAACCCUAGAAUAGCAUUGGGUACUGUAUAGCUUGAAUUACGGAAGGGAAACUGGAAUUCCAAGUGUAGGGGUGGAAUCUGUAGAUAUUUGGAAGAACACCGGUGGCGAAGGCGGGUUUCUGGCCGAUAAUUGACGCUGAGAUGCGAAAGUGUGGGGAUCGAACAGGAUUAGAUACCCUGGUAGUCCACACUGUAAACGAUGUACACUAGGUGUUGGGGCAAGAGCUUCAGUGCCAAAGCAAACGCGAUAAGUGUACCGCCUGGGGAGUAUGCCCGCAAGGGUG
RNAcentral lists this ribosomal RNA (546 nucleotides) under uncultured bacterium. RNAcentral describes it as "bacterial SSU rRNA". It matches the Rfam family "Bacterial small subunit ribosomal RNA", at positions 355 to 896 of the family's 1533-position model. The record is from RNAcentral.